GUCUUUUCGUUUAUUUGGAAAGUCUGGCCUGCCCAGUGAUUUAUUUAACGGCCGCGGUAUAUUGACCGUGCAAAGGUAGCAUAAUCAUUAGUCUUUUAAUAGGAGGCUGGAAUGAAAGGUUUAAUGAAAUACAAUCUGUCUCAUAUUAUAUAUUUAAAAUUUAACUUUUAAGUUAAAAGGCUUAAAUUUGAUUGAUGGACGAGAAGACCCUAUAGAGCUUUACAUUAACUUAUUUUAAUUUUAUAUUGCCUAUAUGAUUUUUUAUUAUUAUAGUUAUUGUUUUGUUGGGGUGACAAAUAUAUAUAUUAAACUUUUAUUAUUUUAUAUACAUUAAUUUGUGUUUAUUGGAUCCAUUAUUAAUGAUCAUUAGAUUAAGUUACCUUAGGGAUAACAGCGUAAUCUUCUUUCAGAGUUCAAAUUUACAAGAAGGCUUGCGACCUCGAUGUUGGAUUAAGAUUAUAAUUAGGUGCAGUAGCUUAAUUAAUAGGUCUGUUCGACCUUUAAAUUCUUACAUGAUCUGAGUUCAGACCGG
This 532-nucleotide ribosomal RNA is filed under the name Amphicnemis ecornuta. Its description in RNAcentral is "partial 16S ribosomal RNA". It matches the Rfam family "Bacterial large subunit ribosomal RNA", at positions 1831 to 2619 of the family's 2925-position model. The record is from RNAcentral. Lineage: Eukaryota; Metazoa; Arthropoda; Insecta; Odonata; Coenagrionidae.